CGCGUAGGCGGGCGACAAGGUCGGUAGUGAAAUCCUCCCGCUUAACGGGAGAAGGGCUGCCGAAACCGGUCGUCUUGAGGGAGGUAGGGGCGUGUGGAACUUCCGGUGGAGCGGUGAAAUGCGUAGAUAUCGGAAGGAACGCCGGUGGCGAAAGCGGCACGCUGGACCUCUUCUGACGCUGAGGCGCGAAAGCCAGGGGAGCAAACGGGAUUAGAUACCCCGGUAGUCCUGGCCCUAAACGAUGGGUACUAGGUAGUGGACUAGCAUGGGUUCACUGCCGAAGCAAAAGUGGUAAGUACCCCGCCUGGGGAGUAUGGUCGCAAGGCUGAA
Molecule: ribosomal RNA, 330 nt
Filed under: uncultured bacterium
Lineage: Bacteria
Description: bacterial SSU rRNA
Rfam family: Bacterial small subunit ribosomal RNA
Source: RNAcentral